Molecule: long non-coding RNA, 566 nt
Organism: Capra hircus (goat)
Lineage: Eukaryota; Metazoa; Chordata; Mammalia; Artiodactyla; Bovidae
Exons: 4
Source: RefSeq, a predicted model, not a curated record
CGGCGGCACCGGCGAUGACGUAUUCAAGCACGAGGUUCCAGCCGAUGAGGAAGGCCCACAGCUCGCCCAUGGACACGUAGGUGAACAGGUCCGAACGAGCGGGGGAUCCCAGGCCUCCUGGCUGCGCCCCGGCCCCGAUUCGCCGCCGCCGCCCCUGGAGCCAGCCUCACCUUGAACGCCGCCCCGUUCUCAGCGUGGAGAUCUUAGUUCCCAACCACAGAUCAAACCUCCAGACCCCCUGCAUUGGGAGCACAGUCUUAACCACUGGACCCCCAGGGAAGUCCCAGGCUGAUAAUGUCUUCAGGAGCUUCUCAGAUGGGCUCCCACUUCCUGCAGGAAACAUGUCCGCCUGAACUUGCUCCCGUGUGGCCGGAACUGAGCAGAGUGGCCAUUCUCUCACGCGGUGGUGUAAGCACCUCGGAUUUCGGCUGUCCUAGGAAGUGUGUCAUGCUUCAGAUGAUGAAGAAUCCGCCCACAAGGCAGGAGACGGGUGUUCCAUCCCUGGGUUGGGAAGAUCCCCUGGAGAACGGAAUGGCUACCCACUCCAGCAUUCUUGCCUGGAGAGU